RNAcentral lists this ribosomal RNA (438 nucleotides) under Pseudomonas sp. S717-02. Its description in RNAcentral is "bacterial SSU rRNA". It matches the Rfam family "Bacterial small subunit ribosomal RNA", at positions 30 to 469 of the family's 1533-position model. Lineage: Bacteria; Pseudomonadati; Pseudomonadota; Gammaproteobacteria; Pseudomonadales; Pseudomonadaceae. The record is from RNAcentral.
AUUGAACGCUGGCGGCAGGCCUAACACAUGCAAGUCGAGCGGUAGAGAGAAGCUUGCUUCUCUUGAGAGCGGCGGACGGGUGAGUAAUGCCUAGGAAUCUGCCUGGUAGUGGGGGAUAACGCUCGGAAACGGACGCUAAUACCGCAUACGUCCUACGGGAGAAAGCAGGGGACCUUCGGGCCUUGCGCUAUCAGAUGAGCCUAGGUCGGAUUAGCUAGUUGGUGAGGUAAUGGCUCACCAAGGCGACGAUCCGUAACUGGUCUGAGAGGAUGAUCAGUCACACUGGAACUGAGACACGGUCCAGACUCCUACGGGAGGCAGCAGUGGGGAAUAUUGGACAAUGGGCGAAAGCCUGAUCCAGCCAUGCCGCGUGUGUGAAGAAGGUCUUCGGAUUGUAAAGCACUUUAAGUUGGGAGGAAGGGUUGUAACCUAAUACGU